GGAAGUAAAAUCGUAACAAGGUUUCCGUAGGUGAACCUGCGGAAGGAUCAUUACUGAGUGAGGGCCCUCUGGGUCCAACCUCCACCCGUGUUUAUUGUACCUUGUUGCUUCGGUGCGCCCGCCUCACGGCCGCCGGGGGGCUUCUGCCCCCGGGUCCGCGCGCACCGGAGACACCAUUGAACUCUGUCUGAAGAUUGCAGUCUGAGCAUAAACUAAAUAAGUUAAAACUUUCAACAACGGAUCUCUUGGUUCCG
Molecule: unclassified non-coding RNA, 254 nt
Filed under: plant metagenome
Description: partial contains small subunit ribosomal RNA, internal transcribed spacer 1, and 5.8S ribosomal RNA
Rfam family: Eukaryotic small subunit ribosomal RNA (bases 1-53)
Source: RNAcentral